AAUGAUCCGGGUCCUCCUUGCAGGUAGACUACCUACUUCUGGAGCAACAAACUCCCAUGGUGUGACGGGCGGUGUGUACAAGGCCCGGGAACGUAUUCACCGCGGCAUUCUGAUCCGCGAUUACUAACGAUUCCCACUUCACGCAGUCGAGUUGCAAACUGCGAUCCGGACUACGAUCGGCUUUUUGAGAUUAGCAUCACAUCGCUGUGUAGCAACCCUUUGUACCGACCAUUGUAGCACGUGUGUAGCCCUGGCCGUAAGGGCCAUGAUGACUUGACGUCGUCCCCGCCUUCCUCCAGUUUGUCACUGGCAGUAUCCUUAAAGUUCCCAUCCGAAAUGCUGGCAAGUAAGGAAAAGGGUUGCGCUCGUUGCGGGACUUAACCCAACAUCUCACGACACGAGCUGACGACAGCCAUGCAGCACCUGUAUGUAGAUUCCCGAAGGCACCAAUCCAUCUCUGGAAAGUUUCUACUAUGUCAAGGCCAGGUAAGGUUCUUCGCGUUGCAUCAAAUUAAACCACAUGCUCCACCGCUUGUGCGGGCCCCCGUCAAUUCAUUUGAGUUUUAGUC
Molecule: ribosomal RNA, 569 nt
Filed under: Acinetobacter sp. HPC498
Lineage: Bacteria; Pseudomonadati; Pseudomonadota; Gammaproteobacteria; Moraxellales; Moraxellaceae
Description: partial 16S ribosomal RNA
Source: RNAcentral